GUUAAUUUUGAGGUGCUAAAAUAGCACCAGCGUAGGUGCCAAAUCAACACAUUGCAGUGGUGUUAAAUAGAAAGUGCUAUUUUGACACCAAUUUCGGUGCUAAUUUAACACCACCAAAUCUGACAUUACGCUAAAAGUGCCAAUAUGACACCUUAUAAUUUCAGCACCUUUGCAAGGUGCUGAAAUAGCACCUAUUUCGCAGACGGAAAGUGCUAAAAUAACGCCAGAUUGAGGGUUAAAGUAUGGGGUGUCAAAAUAACACUAAAUGGCGGUAGAGAAUUUUCGACUUUAUUACAAAGUCAUCUUCAGACAGAAUGGAUAGGGAAAGAGCGGUUAUUUAAGUUAUUGGAAAAUAAAUCUGUAUUUUCGAAUCAAUGUUUUAGAACAGGAAAUUCCUGUGCGUUUUCGCACAACUAUUCAUCUGAGUGAUCUGACGACAUGGAAAAAAACCAAUAGAGACGAAUACUAGACAAAUGGUACAUCGAUAGUGAUGCAUUGUCCUUUUCAUUUCAUCAAACUGUGUUAUUCCGUGCUAUAUUUUCGGACUGCUUAUGUAUUGAUUGCUACAAAGUAUUUAUUUCGCAAUCGCCUGAUAUGUAUGUCCAUAUAAGGAACAAAAUAUAACACGUGAUCAGCGCCUGUAUGCAAAUUGCCAAAUUUUGAGCGCGUCGUUUGAAAACUCUUUUGAAUCGUAUUUCAUACUGCCGUGUUAAAGACGUUUUGAGCGUAUUUCUUAACUAUUUUGGUACUUCUAAAUAUGCUGAACAGCAACGGACUCACAUAAGGAAAUAUCAAGACAAUUGGCUAUGAUAUUAUCUCAGAAAUAUCUUGAGAAGCCAAAUGAAUUCUACUUAUAAUACUGCGAUGAUCUCUUUAGCAAUCUGGGUCAAAGAAAAUAUCAUUGCAAUAAUAGUUUUCACCAAGAUUGAAUGAAGGCCUCAAAUGUGGCAGAUUAAGGGGAAACUGUAAUUCUAAUGAUAUGACAAGGAAAUAUCCCUUCCUUGCUGACUCAAUUGUGGUUGUGGAACAGGUUCAUGGACCAUAACAAGGCCAAGGGUAGAAACAAUUUUUGAAGAAUAUCCUGCACUUCAGCUUAUAUUACAGAGAUCAGGACCCAAGGCUAAUUCGUUCAGAAGACCUUUCAGAUGUUCAAACUUUGAUGAUUGCGGUGGAGGGGCAAAUGUUAACUUAUCAAAGAACAGACUCAACUUCAUUUUAUCUACUAAACAUGGAGUACAUUGCUGGUGUGGCAAAUGUGUGUGCAUUCUUGGAAACUGCUCUCGUCGGGAAGCCUUAGGACAAAAACUUUUGAAGGACGUUAAGUACCGUAAACAUUUUAAAAAUUCUUGUAGCUACGUAGAUUUUCCAGUCACAGCAUAUGAAGAAAUAAAUAUUUUUUAAUCGCAUUUGGUCUACUUCGUAUGAUUAUAGCUUAUGCUAUUUAGUCGCUCCAUUGCUAGCGCUAAAAGUGCAAAAACUAAUCCACACAAACUUCAGGUGUUAGAUUAACACCAAAAGUAGGCGUCAAACUAGCACCAAAGAUCGUGCUAAUUUGACACCUUAUUUCGCGGUGUCAAUUUAGCACCCGAUAUGGUGUUAUUCUGUACCUUUUUAUUUGACACCUUUUUUGGUGUCAAUAUGACACCGCAAAAUUAACAGUGUACAGUACA
This 1670-nucleotide long non-coding RNA is filed under the name Dendronephthya gigantea. Its description in RNAcentral is "uncharacterized LOC114532852, transcript variant X2". Lineage: Eukaryota; Metazoa; Cnidaria; Anthozoa; Malacalcyonacea; Nephtheidae. The record is from RNAcentral.